UUGGCUCUAGCAGAAGCAGUGAACAGAGAAACCAACAAAGGGGGAAAGAAAAGCUGACGCAAUGUUUUAAAUCAGAUUACGGAUUACAAACGGAGAGAUCUGAAGUACUUACUGAAAAUUUCGGGUAAUUACUUAAAACUCCAAAUCUGAGUUUUCCAGUAGAAUUCUUUUAAUUUUGCUUAGUGUGUUAUAGGAUUUCAUUGUGUAUAAUAAGUUACUACUGAUUUGGAUGCUAGAAUAAAUAUGGAAAAAAAAAAGAACAUAAGAAGUAACAAACUAAUCGUUUUGGAUCUGAAUUUUAUUCCAAAUUAUUUGGGUGGGACGGCAAAGAUGCCAAAUUCAUAUGUUGUAUUCAUGUAAACGUAAUAUUGAAUUAUCAUUGAAUUUUCCGACUAGUUUACAAGGUUUUGAGAAUUUUGGCCUAGAGAUUUAAGAAUAAAAGUUGAGGAUUUGGAGGUCGAGUUGAUGUCGGAUUUUGAUAAAUUAUGGUUAGACUCGUGAAAUGGGCUUUCGAGUUUUGUAACUUUUGUCGGAUUUUGAGACGUGGGCUCGGGAGCCGGAUUGAGCCAAUAUUGGAUUUUUGGUUCUAAUCUGAUAGUUUUCAUGUGGAAUUGAUCCCUUUAGCCUCUACUAAUUGUAUUGUACGGUUUGUGGGUAGAUUUGGGAUAUUCGGAGGCUGACUCGCGAGGCAAGGACAUUUUAGAGUAGAGUUUCGCUCGGAUUGAGGUAAGUAACGAUUGUAAAUUUGGACCUGAGGAUAUGAAACCCCGGUAUUUCGUACUGUUUUGAUAAAUAAGAUGAUGCACAUGCUAGGUGACGAGCGCGUGGGCGUGCACCGGUAGAGAUUGUGAUUUGGUCCAUCCCGUAGCGACUAUUAAGCCGCGUAUUUUAAUUUAAAAUCUUAUGAUAUUCCGUGUUUUAGUGAUUGAUACUAUACGUUGGGUUGUACGCCGUGUUUGGGGCCUUGUGCCGACCUGUUUAGACUCUUAGGGGUAUUUUUACUACUUUCCUCACUCUGUUUGAUUUGAAAGUAUAUCAUCAGUCAUAUUUUACCUGUUACUUGUUUAAAACCUGUUUCAUCACUCUAUUUCUUAUAUAUAAAAACUGUUUGGGCUGAGUUCCCUAGUUUUUAUUGAUAUGCCCGAGUGGCCGUGAGGUUAAUGACUGAGAGAGGUUUAGGACCUAAUGGUGAGGAUUAUAUAUAUAUAUGGAUCGGGCCGCGCUCCGUAACAAUAUGACGCUUGGGCUGUAGGAGCCCCUCUGAAGUCUGUACACCUCCAGUGAGCGUAGUCGACUAUAUAUUAUGAAUCGGGCUGCACGCCGCAACGAUUAUGAUUAUUAUUAUUAUGAGAUAUUUAUUGAGUUGGAGUGCGGAGUGUGAGUACUGUGUGACGAGAGCUGAGUCAUGAGUGACUGAGAAGCUUGCCCGAUGGGCUAUAUUUACGAGUGAUACUUGGCUCAAGGGGCUUGUUUUUGAUAUUUUGUUGCUUUUACUCUUCUUUUAUAUACUGAGCCUCUAUUGAAAAAUGUUAAAUAAAUGUUUUAAAGGAUUUUGAAUUGAAAUUGGAGUUUACGAGAUAACUGGCUAUUGAACUGCAGAUUUGUUUUGUUAUUUCUGUUAAGAUUUCUUAUAUGAUUUUAAAUGCUCGUCACUGCACUCAGACUUUAUUUACUUUAGUUACUUACUGAGUUGGCGUACUCAUGUUACUCCCUGCACCUUGUGUGCAGAUUCAGGUGCCCGAGCAGCAGAGUGAGAGCUUCCAGCACUCUCAGAGUUUAUCCGGAGAUCGCAAGGUAGCUGCACGGCGUUCGCAGCCUUGCCUUCCUCCUUCCUAUCUUAGUAUUUUGUUAUUUCAGACUAGUUGUAUUAUUCAGACAGUGUUUUGGUUAUACUUAGAGGCUCAUGACUAGUGAUACCAGAUUCGGGUUGUGUUUGAGUAUUUUUGUAUUGGUUUCCGC
Molecule: long non-coding RNA, 1959 nt
Filed under: Nicotiana tabacum (common tobacco)
Lineage: Eukaryota; Viridiplantae; Streptophyta; Magnoliopsida; Solanales; Solanaceae
Description: long non-coding RNA (NTAB_LNC005262)
Source: RNAcentral